RNAcentral lists this ribosomal RNA (254 nucleotides) under uncultured bacterium. RNAcentral's name for it is "partial 16S ribosomal RNA". It matches the Rfam family "Bacterial small subunit ribosomal RNA", at positions 524 to 776 of the family's 1533-position model. The record is from RNAcentral.
GACGGAGGGCGCAAGCGUUGUUCGGAAUUACUGGGCGUAAAGCGCGGGCAGGUGGUCUGUUAAGUCGUUUGUGAAAAUCCGGGGCUCAACCCCGCGAAAUGCGUACGAUACUGGCAGGCUGGAGACUGGUAGAGGCUAGCGGAAUUCCUGGUGUAGCGGUGGAAUGCGUAGAUAUCAGGAAGAACACCUGUGGCGAAGGCGGCUAGCUGGGCCAGUUCUGACGCUCAUCCGCGAAAGCGUGGGGAGCAAACAGG